GUUAGUGUAGCAAAACAUGGCCCUGCAGAAGAUCUAAGCCCUUCCCAUAGGGGUUCAAAUCCCCUCACCAACU
This 73-nucleotide transfer RNA is filed under the name Wakea madinika. Its description in RNAcentral is "tRNA-Leu(UUR)". It matches the Rfam family "tRNA". Rfam says of the family: Transfer RNA (tRNA) molecules are approximately 80 nucleotides in length. Their secondary structure includes four short double-helical elements and three loops (D, anti-codon, and T loops). Further hydrogen bonds mediate the characteristic L-shaped molecular structure. tRNAs have two regions of fundamental functional importance: the anti-codon, which is responsible for specific mRNA codon recognition, and the 3' end, to which the tRNAs corresponding amino acid is attached (by aminoacyl-tRNA synthetases). tRNAs cope with the degeneracy of the genetic code in two manners: having more than one tRNA (with a specific anti-codon) for a particular amino acid; and 'wobble' base-pairing, i.e. permitting non-standard base-pairing at the 3rd anti-codon position. The record is from RNAcentral. Lineage: Eukaryota; Metazoa; Chordata; Amphibia; Anura; Mantellidae.